AAGUCGUAACAAGGUUUCCGUAGGUGAACCUGCGGAAGGAUCAUUAACACUUUUUCAAAGUGAGAAAGAGGAAUUGUUUCACGUUUCUCUUUCUCAAAUCCAACUACCCAAAUUGAAGUGCUGGUGGAAAGUUCGAUUUCCGAGCUUUCCCACACGUUUUUCUCUCUUCUUUUUAACAAACCCCAAACACACAUGCUAAUGAGAUGACAAACAAAAAAACAAAAAUAACUACUAACGUAACCAAACAACUUUUAGCAACGGAUAUCUUGGCUCUC
RNAcentral lists this unclassified non-coding RNA (275 nucleotides) under fungal sp. RNAcentral describes it as "partial internal transcribed spacer region". The stretch from base 1 to 46 matches the Rfam family "Eukaryotic small subunit ribosomal RNA", at positions 1786 to 1831 of the family's 1831-position model. Lineage: Eukaryota; Fungi. The record is from RNAcentral.